AUACCUAAAUAAAAAUUUAUCUCCUUAUAGAUUUUAGUGACUAUACUUAUGGGAUAGAUUAAAAUUGCCAUGAUCUGAAGAGGGAAGAUUUAUUUGUGUCCUCCUCCUAUAUGAAAUGGCCGAACAGAAAAAU
Molecule: small nucleolar RNA, 133 nt
Organism: Myotis myotis
Lineage: Eukaryota; Metazoa; Chordata; Mammalia; Chiroptera; Vespertilionidae
Product: small nucleolar RNA SNORA29
Exons: 1
Source: RefSeq, a predicted model, not a curated record